UGUAAUCCCGAAAGCAGCCGUGAUGAAGAAGUGAAUCACUUUAUUGGUCACCACGGCGCGGUUUGGAGUGGCUUCGAACUUGGCCCUCGUGUGACCGGCAGUUUCAUCAUCCCUGAAAGAGGAGUGGUCUUUUCCGUCUUCCCUCUCUGUCUCUCUCUCUCUCUCGCUCUCUACACUUCAGCAAUAGUCCGGAAUAGUGCAGAUAGCAUCCUGAUGAUGGUACGGCGUGAUGAACAGAUAGACAACACAACCAGCAAACGAAGCGAAAACCACAAACUCGUGAUGCACAACUCGCGGUAUGGGAAAUCUGCGCCUGACACAGAAAGCGUACCACCCAGC
Anopheles moucheti is the source of this 339-nucleotide long non-coding RNA. RefSeq lists it as uncharacterized. The transcript has 3 exons. The record is from RefSeq and is a predicted model, not a curated record. NCBI's taxonomy places the organism in Eukaryota, Metazoa, Arthropoda, Insecta, Diptera, Culicidae.